This 245-nucleotide ribosomal RNA is filed under the name uncultured bacterium. Its description in RNAcentral is "partial 16S ribosomal RNA". It matches the Rfam family "Bacterial small subunit ribosomal RNA", at positions 524 to 767 of the family's 1533-position model. The record is from RNAcentral.
UACGGGGGGGGGCAAGCGUUGUUCGGAAUUACUGGGCGUAAAGGGCUCGUAGGCGGCCAACUAAGUCAGACGUGAAAUCCCUCGGCUUAACCGGGGAACUGCAUCUGAUACUGGAUGGCUUGAGUUCGGGAGAGGGAUGCGGAAUUCCAGGUGUAGCGGUGAAAUGCGUAGAUAUCUGGAGGAACACCGGUGGCGAAGGCGGCAUCCUGGACCGGCACUGACGCUGAGGAGCGAAAGCCAGGGGA